UACGGGGGGGGCUAGCGUUGUUCGGAAUUACUGGGCGUAAAGGGCGCGUAGGCGGCCUACUAAGUCGGACGUGAAAUCCCUCAGCUUAACUGGGGAACUGCGUCCGAUACUGGAUGGCUUGAGUUUGGGAGAGGGAUGCGGAAUUCCAGGUGUAGCGGUGAAAUGCGUAGACAUCUGGAGGAACACCGGUGGCGAAGGCGGCAUCCUGGACCAACACUGACACUGAGGAGCGAAAGCCAGGGGAGCAAACGGG
This 253-nucleotide ribosomal RNA is filed under the name uncultured bacterium. Its description in RNAcentral is "partial 16S ribosomal RNA". It matches the Rfam family "Bacterial small subunit ribosomal RNA", at positions 524 to 776 of the family's 1533-position model. The record is from RNAcentral.